This 340-nucleotide long non-coding RNA is filed under the name Anas platyrhynchos platyrhynchos (common mallard). RNAcentral describes it as "lncRNA (ENSAPLG00000027498.1)". The record is from RNAcentral. Lineage: Eukaryota; Metazoa; Chordata; Aves; Anseriformes; Anatidae.
CAGUGAAGACACUGGCUUAUAUCUCCUUUGCUGACAGAAUGUCUCUGAAGAAUGAAUUUAGAUGGCAGGCUGCCUAGAGCAUUGCAACAGCUCCUCUGAUGUAGCAUGAGGCCCCUGGCUGCUCAUUGUCAUGACAACUGGAAAAACAAGAGGCCUAGGCCACCACCUCAGGAGUUGUAAUGGAAGGAUGAUGCCACCAGUAAGGACAGCCUCAUGUGAAGCCAGAGGCUUUUGGAGACUCCUGAAGAUUGGAGGCAGCUGCAGAAGUGAAGUGACCCAGAGUGAGCAGUGCAAUGGACAGUGCUCCUGGGGUAGGACUACACAUCCCACUCCAAUAAUU